RNAcentral lists this ribosomal RNA (460 nucleotides) under uncultured bacterium. RNAcentral describes it as "partial 16S ribosomal RNA". It matches the Rfam family "Bacterial small subunit ribosomal RNA", at positions 338 to 795 of the family's 1533-position model. The record is from RNAcentral.
CCUACGGGUGGCAGCAGUGAGGAAUAUUGGUCAAUGGUCGUAAGCCUGAACCAGCCAAGUAGCGUGCAGGAUGACGGCCCUACGGGUUGUAAACUGCUUUUAUGCGGGAAUAACAUGCGUUACGUGUAGGGUUUUGUAGGUACCGUAUGAAUAAGGACCGGCUAAUUCCGUGCCAGCAGCCGCGGUAAUACGGAAGGUCCGGGCGUUAUCCGGAUUUAUUGGGUUUAAAGGGAGCGUAGGCCGCAUGUCAAGCGUGCUGUGAAAUGUCCUGGCUCAACCCUGGCAUUGCAGCGCGAACUGGCGUGCUUGAGUGCGCGGAACGCAGGCGGAAUUCGUGGUGUAGCGGUGAAAUGCUUAGAUAUGACGAAGAACCCCGAUUGCGAAGGCAGCUUGCUGCAGCGGAACUGACGCUGAUGCUCGAAAGCGCGGGUAUCGAACAGGAUUAGAUACCCUGGUAGUC